UUUAAUUGAAGAGUUUGAUCAUGGCUCAGAUUGAACGCUGGCGGCAGGCCUAACACAUGCAAGUCGAACGGUAACAGGGAGCAGCUUGCUGCUCUGCUGACGAGUGGCGGACGGGUGAGUAAUGUCU
Molecule: ribosomal RNA, 127 nt
Filed under: Cronobacter sakazakii
Lineage: Bacteria; Pseudomonadati; Pseudomonadota; Gammaproteobacteria; Enterobacterales; Enterobacteriaceae
Description: partial 16S ribosomal RNA
Rfam family: Bacterial small subunit ribosomal RNA
Source: RNAcentral